RNAcentral lists this ribosomal RNA (446 nucleotides) under uncultured soil bacterium. RNAcentral describes it as "bacterial SSU rRNA". It matches the Rfam family "Bacterial small subunit ribosomal RNA", at positions 26 to 518 of the family's 1533-position model. The record is from RNAcentral.
AGAACGAACGCUGGCGGCAUGCCUAAUACAUGCAAGUCGAACGAACUCUUCGGAGUUAGUGGCGCACGGGUGCGUAACGCGUGGGAAUCUGCCCCUUGGUUCGGAAUAACAGUUGGAAACGACUGCUAAUACCGGAUGAUGACGAAAGUCCAAAGAUUUAUCGCCAAGGGAUGAGCCCGCGUAGGAUUAGCUAGUUGGUGAGGUAAAGGCUCACCAAGGCAACGAUCCUUAGCUGGUCUGAGAGGAUGAUCAGCCACACUGGGACUGAGACACGGCCCAGACUCCUACGGGAGGCAGCAGUAGGGAAUAUUGGACAAUGGGCGAAAGCCUGAUCCAGCAAUGCCGCGUGAGUGAUGAAGGCUUUAGGGUUGUAAAGCUCUUUUACCCGAGAUGAUAAUGACAGUAUCGGAGAAUAAGCCCCGGCUAACUCCGCGCCAGCAGCCGAC